GACGAACGCUGGCGGCGUGCUUAACACAUGCAAGUCGAACGGAAAGGCCUUUUCGGUGGUACUCGAGUGGCGAACGGGUGAGUAACACGUGGGUGAUCUGCCCUGCACUCUGGGAUAAGCCUGGGAAACUGGGUCUAAUACCGGAUAGGACCGCACUUUUGUGUGUGUGGUGGAAAGUUUUUUCGGUGUAGGAUGAGCCCGCGGGCUAUCAGCUUGUUGGUGGGGUAAUGGUCUACCAAGGCGGCGACGGGUAGCCGGACUGGGGGGUUGGUCGGCCACAUUGGGACUGAGGUACGGCCCAGGCUCCUACGGGGGGGAGCAGGGGGGAAUAUUGCACAAUGGGCGCAAGCCUGAUGCAGCGACGCCGCGGGGGGGAUGACGGCCUUAGGGUUGGAAACUCCUUUCGCCAGGGACGAAGCGUUUUGUGACGGUACCUGGAGAAGAAGCACCGGCUAACUACGUG
RNAcentral lists this ribosomal RNA (463 nucleotides) under uncultured bacterium. Its description in RNAcentral is "partial 16S ribosomal RNA". It matches the Rfam family "Bacterial small subunit ribosomal RNA", at positions 28 to 507 of the family's 1533-position model. The record is from RNAcentral.